Molecule: ribosomal RNA, 561 nt
Filed under: Colletotrichum acutatum
Lineage: Eukaryota; Fungi; Ascomycota; Sordariomycetes; Glomerellales; Glomerellaceae
Description: eukaryotic LSU rRNA
Rfam family: 5.8S ribosomal RNA (bases 185-338)
Source: RNAcentral
UGGGCCUCUAGUACGCUCUAUACCCUUUGUGACAUACCUAACCGUUGCUUCGGCGGGCAGGGGAAGCCUCUCGCGGGCCUCCCCUCCCGGCGCCGGCCCCCACCACGGGGACGGGGCGCCCGCCGGAGGAAACCAAACUCUAUUUACACGACGUCUCUUCUGAGUGGCACAAGCAAAUAAUUAAAACUUUUAACAACGGAUCUCUUGGUUCUGGCAUCGAUGAAGAACGCAGCGAAAUGCGAUAAGUAAUGUGAAUUGCAGAAUUCAGUGAAUCAUCGAAUCUUUGAACGCACAUUGCGCUCGCCAGCAUUCUGGCGAGCAUGCCUGUUCGAGCGUCAUUUCAACCCUCAAGCACCGCUUGGUUUUGGGGCCCCACGGCACACGUGGGCCCUUAAAGGUAGUGGCGGACCCUCCCGGAGCCUCCUUUGCGUAGUAACUAACGUCUCGCACUGGGAUUCGGAGGGACUCUUGCCGUAAAACCCCCAAAUUUUUUACAGGUUGACCUCGGAUCAGGUAGGAAUACCCGCUGAACUUAAGCAUAUCAAUAAGCGGAGGAAAGGC